This 468-nucleotide ribosomal RNA is filed under the name uncultured bacterium. RNAcentral's name for it is "partial 16S ribosomal RNA". It matches the Rfam family "Bacterial small subunit ribosomal RNA", at positions 28 to 507 of the family's 1533-position model. The record is from RNAcentral.
GACGAACGCUGGCGGCGUGCUUAACACAUGCAAGUCGAACGGAAAGGCCCUGCUUUUGUGGGGUGCUCGAGUGGCGAACGGGUGAGUAACACGUGAGUAACCUGCCCUUGACUUUGGGAUAUCUUCAGGAAACUGGGGCUAAUACCGGAUAGGAGCUCCUGCUGCAUGGUGGGGGUUGGAAAGUUUCGGCGGUUGGGGAUGGACUCGCGGCUUAUCAGCUUGUUGGUGGGGUAGUGGCUUACCAAGGCUUUGACGGGUAGCCGGCCUGGGAGGGUGACCGGCGUCAUUGGUACUGAGAUACGGACCAGACUCCUACGGGAGGCAGCAGUGGGGAAUAUUGCACAAUGGGCGGAAGCCUGAUGCAGCAACGCCGCGUGCGGGAUGACGGCCUUCGGGUUGUAAACCGCUUUCGCCUGUGACGAAGCGUGAGUGACGGUAAUGGGUAAAGAAGCACCGGCUAACUACGUG